Pluteus cervinus is the source of this 95-nucleotide non-coding RNA. The record is from the annotation of a GenBank genome assembly. NCBI's taxonomy places the organism in Eukaryota, Fungi, Basidiomycota, Agaricomycetes, Agaricales, Pluteaceae.
GGGAAAGUAGCAUAAUGGCUAAUGCACCUCGCGCAAUGUCACAAAAUGGAUUAUGACGCUGCGAGAAGUACUCAGUUCGAUUCUGAGCUUUCCCG